GACGAACGCUGGCGGCGUGCUUAACACAUGCAAGUCGAACGGAGAGACAUGGAAGCUUGCUUCUAUGAAUCUUAGUGGCGAACGGGUGAGUAACGCGUAAUCAACCUGCCCUUUAGAGGGGGAUAACAACGGGAAACCGUUGCUAAUACCGCGUACGAUAUGCUUUCGGUCAUCGAGAGCAUAUGAAAGGUAGGCCUCUAUAUAAGCUAUCGCUGAAGGAGGGGAGUUGCGUCUGAUUAGCUAGUUGGAGGGGUAACGGGCCCACCAAGGCAAUGAUCAGUAGCCGGUCUGAGAGGAUGAACGGCCACAUUGGGACUGAGACACGGCCCAA
RNAcentral lists this ribosomal RNA (331 nucleotides) under uncultured bacterium. RNAcentral describes it as "bacterial SSU rRNA". It matches the Rfam family "Bacterial small subunit ribosomal RNA", at positions 28 to 334 of the family's 1533-position model. The record is from RNAcentral.